RNAcentral lists this non-coding RNA (185 nucleotides) under Pseudodesulfovibrio sp. zrk46. RNAcentral describes it as "6S RNA". It matches the Rfam family "6S / SsrS RNA". From Rfam's summary of the family: E. coli 6S RNA was the first non coding RNA to be sequenced, but its function was unknown until recently. Lineage: Bacteria; Pseudomonadati; Thermodesulfobacteriota; Desulfovibrionia; Desulfovibrionales; Desulfovibrionaceae. The record is from RNAcentral.
AUUACCCUGGGGCGUUUGUGAUUGCCCGGAGUGUUAUUGAACCAAUGCUCUGACAAAGGGUUAGCGCUCCAGCGUGCCGGUGAGCAGGCCCGACUCGAAUCGGGAAGCCUAAAGGUGCGCGAGCCGUGCCCACCUGGACAUACCAGGUUCUAAACAAACAGGUAACACGGCCUCCCGGGGAUUUU